GGGUCUCAGGUGACCGGAGGGCGGCUGCCUCCCGCGCCCUCGGGUGCGCGCGCGCGCGCGCCUGUUCCUCCCCUCAGGAGCCCCGGGGGGGGUCACGAGCCGGCGCGAGGCUCUGCUGAGGGAGGUUGUGUUUGCCGGUUACAGCCAAGCCGGAAUAACCUCACUGAUUUUUGUUUUCAAACAUUCCGUCUAAGCCUUCGGCGUACAAGGAACUCGAAUAUCUGUACUAUCGUCAGGAUUUAUAACUCCCCCCCACACUUCCCGCCACGCUCCCCUCAGAAGUUCCCUCUAAGCCUUCAGUGUACAAGGAACCUGAGUAUCUAUACUAUCGUUAGUGCUAAAGCUUCUCGCACUUCCCCCCGCAGCCCCUCAGGCGCUUUCAGCCGCAAAGGAAAACUAAAGAGGGUCGUUGAAAGCCUCAGUUCCCAAGGUGUAUUUCUGUGGCGAUUUGAACAAAACCAGCCCUGUAGUGCUUCCGCUUCUUCCCCGUUCAUUUUUCCCAACUCGCGGCCGAGGGAAAGGUGUUUCUAGACCGCAGCAAAAUGCAGAUGACUUGACUGUGAAAAUUUUUGCUGCUUCCCAAAGCAAAAUUUUAUGAGCUCCAGUUUUAUCAGUGCUCCAUGCUCUUCCUUCAGCACAUUAUCUAUCUUAUGUGGAGCUGCAGGUAAAUCAUACUCUAAUGACUUGAGGGAAAAAAAAGAGACAAGUUGUUAUAAAAUGAAAUUACAUGUUCUAUGUUCUCCCAUUUUUGACAAAACACUUUUCUCUUGUUUAGUGAUGAAUACUGUCAAUAUACUGCAGGAAAAGUAAGUCAUUGAUCAAAUAUUGAAAAUACAUCCCGUUUAGAAACCUGUCAAAGAAGAGAAAAUUAUUCUAUACCCCAGGAUCUGAUAUUUUUCCAUGCAUCUUCAUCUUUAUGUAGAUUAUUGCUGUUCAUAACCCAUGGAAAUAAAAUCCUGAAACCACUGAAAUAAAGUUAUAUA
This 983-nucleotide long non-coding RNA is filed under the name Manacus vitellinus (golden-collared manakin). RNAcentral's name for it is "lncRNA (ENSMVIG00005016207.1)". The record is from RNAcentral. Lineage: Eukaryota; Metazoa; Chordata; Aves; Passeriformes; Pipridae.